This 278-nucleotide ribosomal RNA is filed under the name uncultured bacterium. RNAcentral's name for it is "partial 16S ribosomal RNA". It matches the Rfam family "Bacterial small subunit ribosomal RNA", at positions 75 to 354 of the family's 1533-position model. The record is from RNAcentral.
CGGAACAUUUUUUACUUUAGUGGCGGACGGGUGAGUAACGCGUGGGUAACCUGCCUUAUACAGGGGGAUAACACUUAGAAAUAGGUGCUAAGACCGCAUAAGCGCCCAGGGCCGCAUGGCCCAGGGUGAAAAACUCCGGUGGUAUAAGAUGGGCCCGCGUCUGAUUAGCCAGUUGGCAGGGUAACGGCCUACCAAAGCGACGAUCAGUAGCCGGCCUGAGAGGGUGGACGGCCACAUUGGGACUGAGACACGGCCCAAACUCCUACGGAAGGCAGCAG